Molecule: long non-coding RNA, 392 nt
Organism: Stegastes partitus (bicolor damselfish)
Lineage: Eukaryota; Metazoa; Chordata; Actinopteri; Pomacentridae
Exons: 2
Source: RefSeq, a predicted model, not a curated record
AUCCCUCACAGUGCUGCCCCGCAUUGCUGAGGGAGCAGAGUGCACGUGUAAAAAGGGAACAGAAGAAGAUUAAUGUGUCAUUAAUCUCUUCUACAGGUAUGUGUUUUUAUUUUAAGUUAUACGUUUUAUCUCUGUUUAGUCACUCCACCCCACUACACUGUGUUAAUGUGGCCACCAGGUGGCAUUGUAUGAGAUUUGCUCUGAUUGUUAAGAAGAGCAUUGUUAAAAACGUAGUUUUAAAAUGUUUUUCAUUGUUACACAGUGCUGCCCCGCAUUGCUGAGGGAGCAGAGUGCACGUGUAAAAAGGGAACAGAAGAAGAUUAAUGUGUCAUUAAUCUCUUCUACAGUGUUGCUUCACAUAGUCGAGGAAAUAAAUGCUGGAGAACGGUGAA